This 310-nucleotide ribosomal RNA is filed under the name uncultured bacterium. RNAcentral describes it as "bacterial SSU rRNA". It matches the Rfam family "Bacterial small subunit ribosomal RNA", at positions 28 to 302 of the family's 1533-position model. The record is from RNAcentral.
GAUGAACGCUGGCGGCAUGCCUAAGACAUGCAAGUCGAACGAAGUGGUCCAAUGAAGAUGGAGUGCUUGCACGAAAUCAGAUUUGGGUUGCCACUUAGUGGCGAAAGGGUGAGUAACACGUAGGUUAUCUACCUUUAAGACUGGAAUAACAUUAGAAAUGAUUGCUAAUACCGGAUGAUAUAUAGAGUAAUACGUUACUUUAUAUUAAAAGGAGCCUUUAAAGCUUCACUUAAAGAUGAGCCUGCGGCGUAUAGCUAGUUGUGGGUAAAGGCCUACCAAGGCGACGAUGCGUAGCCGACCUGAGAGGGUG